GAACGACAAGCCGAAUGAAGACGACAGCCAGUUGGCGAGCGCAGAUAAAUUAUAAUUGGGCAUUUCGAGUCCAAACAGACAGCUGUGUCUUAAUCAACAACCUGACAAUUCUCUUCUGCUCUCAUAUUAUGAAAGGUCUUAGAACCGAUAAUUACACUUAAGUUUGUAUCUUAGCAGACACUCUGUGAUCACAACGUACGAGACUUUAAAGCCUUGCUCACAUUUCUGAGAGUCCGAAGCAUUAAUUCCAGCGCCAGACCACUCCUCCUGCAAAUAUCGCACGGUGCAAUGGAGAAUUAAUGUGCCCGGGAACUUUGCUGCAGACUCACAGGUCGGUAAUAAAGUUGGACAGCACUCACUAACAGAUUCAGUCGGCCUGGGUAUUCCGUAGUGUCGGUCCAGCAACAGAAUGAUAUUCACAAGAACCAGCAUCACUUAGCAGCAGGCCCGAACAGCUGCGAUGAGGGGGUCAGCGCAUUAGUAAAAUACAGCUGUACGGUGGAGGAAAACGUCAACUGAGCAGUUCAUAGCCAAUAAAAUUCCGGAUGAAUUAUGCCCAUUUCUCAAGUCACUGAUGGGAAGAGCAGUCCCAGGGUCCCCGAACAGCAAAUCUGCGUCUUGUGCCGGAGCACACAAAGGAACAGUGACAGCAGUGUGUAACUCUACUGCAAGAUACAAUGUAGCUUGUGCGUUACAGGAAUUAGUUACACUCCCUGCAUAAAUCAAAGCAACAUCCAGUUAUAUGAAAAAAUUAUUUUGGAUUGCCAAGCUAAAUAGACAAUUACAGGAAAAGCAAAUUAUGCAUACGGAGCGUACCCUCAAGGCUUCAGGCCAAGUCCAUGUCAAAUCAAUAAUAAGCAGAAUAUCCUCACUAAAAACAGCUUCUGAGGAUCCACGUCACCGGCAUUUUCAAAGUUAUGCGGAGGAUGUAUUGAUACAUGUCACGUUUCCUUUCUCAUAUACUCUCAGGGACAAAAUAUCCAGACAAUCCGGAGAACCUUACUGAGCGAGCGUGAGUCAUGGGCUCAUGGGAGGUGGAGCGCCCAGAAUAUAAGUAAGUUUCAUUAAAAACGCAACAUCAUAUUGCAUUAUAAUGGUUAUUGUACCAUGACGAAAAAAAAUGGAAAAUGAAAACAUGUGGGACUUGAUGGCUUUCAGAGACAUGAGGUGUAUGAUGUAGAGUGGUCGGAGCUUGUGCUGUCGAGUCACAGCCGAGAGAGGCUCUGAUUAGGUGAAACGCGUUGGUCACCACUCACCAGCAGGGUUAUUGUACCCUGAAAAAAGAAAACACAUGAGACUUGUUGGCUUUCAGAGACAUGAGGUGUAUGAUGUAGAGUGGAUGGAGUUUGUGUUGUCGAGUCACAACCGAGAGAGGCUCUGAUUAGGUGAAACGCGUUGGUCACCACUCACCAACAAGGAUAUUGUACCCUGAAAAAAGAAAACACAUGGGACUUGUUGGCUUUCAGAGACAUGAGGUGUAUGAUGUAGAGUGAGCGGAGCUUGUAUUGUCGAGUCACAACCGAGAGAAGCUCUGAUUAGGUGAAACGUGUUGGUCACCAGCAAGGUUAUUGUACCAUGAAAAAAAGGAAAAAUGAAAACACAUGGGACUUGAUGGCUUUUAAAGACAAGAGGCAUAGGAUGAUGGCUGAAGGAGCUUGUGUUGUCAAGUCACAAUCAAGAGAGGCUCUGAUUAGGCAAAACGCGUUGGUCACCAGCAAGGUUAUUGUACCAUGACAUAAAAAAGGAAAAAUUAAAAGAUAUGGGACUUGUUGGCUUUCAGAGACAAGAGGCGUAGGAUGAUGACUGAUGGAGCUUAUGUUGUCGAGUCACAACAAAGAGAGGCUCUGAUUAGGUGAAAUGCAUCGAUCACCAGCAAGCUGCCAUUGCACAUCCUCCAUCACUGCCACAGCAUGGAUACUGCCACUGCGCCAACAUCUGAAGCAACUACUGGACCCCACGGACUCAAGAGGCCCCUGCUUGAAUAGUGCAAGACCUACACUGAGUAUCCAGCAAAGGAUGCUCUAUAAGGGGAGGUGUGGACUCAACCCACUACCCACCAAGCACUGCAGGAUCCCUGCUAACACUUACCACACUUACUGGUGACUGCACUGCCACUGCACUCACGCAGGUCCACUGCUAUCUGGUACACCCCGGUAACCACUACACCAGGGUGAGGCAUACAUAUGUACUCUUACUAUAAGUGGCUCCCCCAUCAGGAGUCACUCUCUCAUACCAGGUCAUCACAUUAGGGUAAUUACACUGUUCCCGAAGGACCAUUUUGUCAUAGUUUGUGAAUGCACCGACAGGACACAGGUGAGCACUGGAUAUAAAUUUCUCAGCUACAUUACGUAUCUACCGAACAUGUCGAGAAUUCAGCUGCUCCCAGCACUGGGUCUACUCAACCUGAGCGCACAUCACAUCCUAGUUCUCGAGUCACAACUGAAGUUAUGAAAUAAAAAUAUGGAUAACUAAAAUUGUGUCAUAUCAAGGAGAGAGAGCCAGUGGUUUUGAUGAAAGUGAAUGCUAGAUGUAGGACAUAGAGUAAUGCUAUGAUUCCAAAUCAUUGCAAAUUAAUGGAAUUAGAGGUCUAGUUACAUUAAUUUGCAUACAAAUCCAUUGGAUGUACAAUAACUGCCAGUGUAGUGAACAUUUUCCUUUACCACUUUAAAAUGGCUGCAGGACAGGUGUGGGAGCGGGAGGUGUAAUGUGAAGCCACCAUGCCUGACAUAGGUCCUUCUACCCAACCCCCAAAAGCCUUAUACAUCCCUGGUUUUCAUUUGGGGGCAAAAGGCUGCACAGAACAUCAUUUGGCUUCCCUUCAGCAAUGGUUGGUUGAUCGGUACCUGCAUAGCGGGUCUGAGAUCCGUGCAAUAAGUGACUGUGCCCAACCUUGCCACCCAAAAUCUCUACUACAGAAUCUAGCUUCAGGGCAUGACGCUACUUCAUGCAGUAAUUUGACAUCUUACAGGACAAUAAAUGUCAACUGUGCUCUGCCACAUAUAGGCAUGCAGAGCAUUUAAUUUGGUAUAUUGAGGACACUGUUACCGCUGGUCAAGCUGCAGAGCAGCAGCGGUGACUGGAGGCCACUUGGAUGUGCGCAGGGUCCAUUCAGUGCAAGGAGAGGCCGCUCCUAUUUACAUACUCUCCCAGAACCUGCAGGAGACACUCAAUUGUUUGGCUAGUCCCCCGCAUCCCUGGAAGAGUGGGCUUUCUUCCUGCAUUCCCCUCCUGUGGUCCGUUGGGAGAGGGCGGGGCUUAGUAUUGUGAUUCUAUUUUAAUUGUGCCAUUUUAGCCCCACCCCUAAUCAAAUUUGUGCAAGCAUAUUUGCCAGUGGGGGCGGGCACUGAUAUUGUGCAAAAUGGGGCUAUUUGGCACCCUUUGAGAACAAGUUAGUGUGGCACUGCAUGUGUAUAUAUGUCAAUAAACAAGUCAUAUACAAGGGACACUUUUAGUUGUCAGCAAGAAAACAUAUGACACUAGAGGCCUAGUUGUCAGGCCGCCAUACCGAUGAAACGCGGCCCGAUGAAGGAAACUCGUAAACUUGCCUGGAAAGUUAUCAUCGGUGUCCCAGAGGCCAGCUCUGUAAUCUGUCAUUGUUAGUUAUUAAAAUGAUUCCUUGUUUUA
Molecule: long non-coding RNA, 3624 nt
Organism: Pseudophryne corroboree (corroboree frog)
Lineage: Eukaryota; Metazoa; Chordata; Amphibia; Anura; Myobatrachidae
Exons: 4
Source: RefSeq, a predicted model, not a curated record